GGGGCUUGAGUAUGUUUGAGGCAGGCGGAAUGCGUGGUGUAGCGGUGAAAUGCAUAGAUAUCACGCAGAACCCCGAUUGCGAAGGCAGCCUGCCAAGCCAUGACUGACGCUGAUGCACGAAAGCGUGGGGAUCAAACAGGAUUAGAUACCCUGGUAGUCCACGCAGUAAACGAUGAUCACUAGCUGUUUGCGAUACACUGUAAGCGGCACAGCGAAAGCGUUAAGUGAUCCACCUGGGGAGUACGCCGGCAACGGUGAAACUCAAAGGAAUUGACGGGGGCCCGCACAAGCGGAGGAACAUGUGGUUUAAUUCGAUGAUACGCGAGGAACCUUACCCGGGUUUGAACGCAUUCGGACCGAGGUGGAAACACCUUUUCUAGCAAUAGCCGUUUGCGAGGUGCUGCAUGGUUGUCGUCAGCUCGUGCCGUGAGGUGUCGGCUUAAGUGCCAUAACGAGCGCAACCCUUGCCACUAGUUACUAACAGGUAAAGCUGAGGACUCUGGUGGGACUGCCAGCGUAAGCUGCGAGGAAGGCGGGGAUGACGUCAAAUCAGCACGGCCCUUACAUCCGGGGCGACACACGUGUUACAAUGGCGUGGACAAAGGGAAGCCACCUGGCGACAGGGAGCGAAUCCCCAAACCACGUCUCAGUUCGGAUCGGAGUCUGCAACCCGACUCCGUGAAGCUGGAUUCGCUAGUAAUCGCGCAUCAGCCAUGGCGCGGUGAAUACGUUCCCGGGCCUUGUACACACCGCCCGUCAAGCCAUGGGAGCCGGGGGUACCUGAAGUCCGUAAACGCGAGGAUCGGCCUAGGGUAAAACUGGUGACUGGGC
This 831-nucleotide ribosomal RNA is filed under the name uncultured organism. RNAcentral describes it as "SSU rRNA". It matches the Rfam family "Bacterial small subunit ribosomal RNA", at positions 637 to 1480 of the family's 1533-position model. The record is from RNAcentral.